GAGUUUGAUCGUGGCUCAGGACGAACGCUGGCGGCAUGCCUAACACAUGCAAGUCGAACGAAGGCUUCGGCCUUAGUGGCGCACGGGUGCGUAACGCGUGGGAAUCUGCCCUUUGCUUCGGAAUAACAGUGGGAAACUACUGCUAAUACCGGAUGAUGUCUUCGGACCAAAGAUUUAUCGGCAAGGGAUGAGCCCGCGUAGGAUUAGGUAGUUGGUGGGGUAAAGGCCUACCAAGCCGACGAUCCUUAGCUGGUCUGAGAGGAUGAUCAGCCACACUGGGACUGAGACACGGCCCAGACUCCUACGGGAGGCAGCAGUGGGGAAUAUUGGAC
RNAcentral lists this ribosomal RNA (332 nucleotides) under uncultured Alphaproteobacteria bacterium. RNAcentral's name for it is "bacterial SSU rRNA". It matches the Rfam family "Bacterial small subunit ribosomal RNA", at positions 9 to 369 of the family's 1533-position model. The record is from RNAcentral. Lineage: Bacteria; Pseudomonadati; Pseudomonadota; Alphaproteobacteria.